UAUGAAUAUGUAUGUGUGCAUAUGCAUGUAUACACAUACUUUGAAUAAUUACAAGGAUGUAUAUAGAUACAUAUGUGUGUACAUAUACAUGCAAA
This 95-nucleotide microRNA precursor is filed under the name Myotis lucifugus (little brown bat). RNAcentral describes it as "miRNA (ENSMLUG00000020511.1)". The record is from RNAcentral. Lineage: Eukaryota; Metazoa; Chordata; Mammalia; Chiroptera; Vespertilionidae.